RNAcentral lists this long non-coding RNA (5561 nucleotides) under Sus scrofa (pig). Its description in RNAcentral is "lncRNA (ENSSSCG00015080923.1)". The record is from RNAcentral. Lineage: Eukaryota; Metazoa; Chordata; Mammalia; Artiodactyla; Suidae.
UUUUUUUUUUUUUUUGCUUUUUAGGGCUGCAUAUGGAGGUUCCCAGGCUAGGGGUUGAAUCAGAGCUACAGCUGCCAGCCUACCCCACAGCCCCAGCAAUGUAGGAUCCAAGCCGCAUCUGUGACCUGCAUCACAGCUCGCAGCCACGCCGGAUCCUUAACCCAUUGAGCAAGGCCAAGGAUCGAACCUGCAACCUCACGGUUCCUAGCUGGAUUCGUUUCCACUGUGCCACGACGGGAACUACAAGCAGCAAAAUAAUUUCUUGAAAGGACCUCAGGUAACUUGCAGAAACCGAUCUUCAGUUACAGGGUAUUUAGUAUUUUGAAUUCUAAAGAAUUCAAACACAUGGCAGGAAAAAAUAUAUAUUUGUUCCAGAAAAUUGUAAACUUAUCUUCGCCCCUGCUUUCUCAAGAAGACAUAUAGGCAGGUAGCUGAGGGUUUCUGGUUUCCUGGGAACAAAGUCUUAGUCAGGGCGGAGGCCUUGCUACGCUAGAUCACAGCCUUACAGCCUGAGGACGAAGAGAAGCCCAGGGCUAACUCUGCAAAAAAAGGAGGGGGGGAUAGAGGAGACCCCGGAGAAUUCAGAGGCUUGGGAUCGCUUGAGGGGAGAGAGGGCUGUUUGCUGUAACCCUCCUUCCAUCUCUAGAUAGAAAUCCUCAGUACAAUGCCCAUUUCUCACGGCAGCCUUGCGGCCCAGUUUUGCUUUGGGGUAAUUAAGGGAAGCACUGAGCCCUGCUCCUUGGUGAAGGGAGUGAGUGGAGGCGGUGAAAGGCUGACACACCUGCACUGUAUUUUUGGACCCUGCCUGGGCUUUGGAUGGGCCAUUCAAAUCUCGAGUGAAUCGGGUUUACAUCAUUACUCUAAAUAAAAAGCCAAACAUACAGCAUUGCACCUACAGUAAACCAAUGCACUUCAUUUUGUUAAGAGAGUAAGUCUCAUGUUGAAUGUUCCUACUGGCCUAAAAAAUUUAACAACCGAACAUGCCUCUCCCCACCCCAGGGCUGCAGAAGUGCCAGGGCAGAGGCUGAUUCAGCCCAAGGAAAGAUGACCCUGGGAUAUUACCUCAACACCAGAGGGAAGUUGUGACUGUGAGGUCAGCAUGCUGGCCUGAUCAAGAAUGGACUUUUCAGAAAGUGUAUUAGUCAGGAUCCUUUGGGUUGCAAAUCAUGGAAAUUCAUCUCUCACAUGUUAAUCAAAACAAACAAACAACACCCAAAAACGUAAAAGGGGAAGGUGGAAUUACUGGCUCACAUAAAUGUGAAAGGCAGGAGUAGUGCUAGCUUCAGGAACGGCUAGAUCCAGGCACCCAAGUCAGGUUGCCAGGUGUUUAUCGCCAUCUCACCACUCUGUCCUUUUUUGUGUGGGCUUCUCUCCCAGUUUAUGUCCCUCCUGGAGGGGCAAGAUGGCCCCGCAAAGUACCAUCCCAAUAUCACCCCUGCUGGAAAGAGCUGACUUUCCCAACCGUUCUGAGGAAAGUAUCAGGAUUGAGUCUCAUGGAACUGGCUGGGUUAUUUCCCCAACCAUGGAGUUAGGAGAAUGGGGUGAGCCACACAGGAACUCCUUGAACUGAGAGCAUAGGCAGGAAAAAUCUCUUAAAGGAAGUCAAGGUAUUUCUGAUACCAGGAAUGGGAAAACAGCAGUCCGUGACAAAUGGAGACACGCAUCCUAUGAAGUGAGCUCAGGAGACAGAUAUAAAAACAACAACAACAAACUUCCUUGUGUCACCCCGGGCUGGAAAUUGGUGUUUAAUCCAGGCUUGAAGGACACAUGACUUACUAAGAAACGAGAGUGUCUCCAGGAAGGGGUGAGGCGGACUGGGGCAGAUACCCUUGGCUGAUUUGGGUCCCCACGCCUCCCCUUCUAGCCUUAGCUUCAGAGACAGGAUUUCCUGGAGCGGGAGCUGUCGCUGUAGAGCUGGCCACCAGACAAGCUCUGAAACCUUGGUCAAGGUCACAUGCUGCCAGACAAGAGGGACAUUUGCAGGGACUGCAGCCCCAGGGACAAGAGAGGAGAAUGCUGAAUUGUGGUUAGAGCUUCAGUGCAUCGUUAGAGGAGGAUGGUCGGAGAGAGGGGGAAACGGAGCCACAGUUUAGAGGUUUUAGGCUCUGGCAGCAGGAACCAAACGCAGAUUCGAAGCUGCCCAUCAGGGCCUCCAUCUCUGCACGAGAAUGACCAGUGCUGCUUGAAGGCAUGGGCAGUGGAAAGGGAGGUGCUGGGAUUCCUCUGUCUCUGAGACAGCAGAGAGGAGAGAAGGACUCCCCACACACAGUAGAACAGUAGAUAAAAGAGAUCUGUGCUGUGAGCCAUGAGCCGUAGGACGAGAUGUGCUUGAUCACAGCUUGGAGAAUCUGGCCCUGCGGGAGCAGAGAGAUAACCGUGGGUACAAGGGACACAGUCACAGUUUCCCCCGUCGCGCUGCCGCAAAGCAUUGGAAUGGCAGACAGCUUACAAAUGUAUUAAAGCAAAGGGGCAUUUUCAGAGAGAGAGAACGCACAUGAGCACAGGUUAAAAAAGAGGGCCUGGGAGGUCCCAUCGUGGCGCAGCAGCAAAUGAACCCGACUAGCCAGGGAUCGAACCUGCAACCUCAUGGUUCCUAGUUGGGUUCUUAACCUGUUGAGCCAGGAUGGGAACUCCCAUGACCUUUCUUGUUCCAGGUCCUGGGAACUGCUUCUCAGCCGCUUUAGCCAUUCAGGCCUAGAGGUGGGGACAGCUCUGCUGCCAGCUCCACGUUAGUGCACUUGAAGUCACCCUGUGCUUUGUAAUUAGGCCCUGUAUAAACAAACCGCCUGCCACUUUCAGGAGAUGGGGAGCUUGGCGCCGAGGCAGGAGGGGGUCUACCUUGUGCUACGGAGUAGGGGUGUCAGAGAUCUGGGGACCGGGUUUGUCUCUGAAGUGAGAGAGCGGAUCGGGCCUGAACAUGCCACCAGCUCUCCUGGGCUCUUUCAAUGCUAAUGCGUCCACAUUUCAAGCCACCACGGUUCCACAUCUCCCCUAGUUCUCUCUCUUCCCCAGCAAAGCUGAGUAUGUGUGGGAGGCAGAGGAAGCAGGGCCAAAUGGGGCAUCCAGGAGGCUCCCUCGAAGAGACUGGGGGCCUGUGGGGAGGGAAAGGGGCCUCUCCCCCUGGAUGCUCUCUGAGCUGGGACUCUGCAGGCUCUUCCUGGUGCUGCAGCUGGAAUCAAGUGUGGUGAGAAAGUGGGGCUGUGGGCAGGGGGGACCUACGAGACUGGGGCUGUUUGUGAACACAGAGAAUGGAUUAGAGAGUUCUAAAGACAGGCGGCUCGUGGAAGGGCCUACGUCAGCAAGCUUGUCAGGAUCAAGAUAUUGGGGGGCCUGGGAGGAACAUGGGGCACCCCUCCCAGUUCCUCAUAUUUGCCAUGGCUCCAUAUGAAAGAGCGUGAGGUUGAGAGGAGGAACAGAGGGCCAGCCAGCAGCCACAAGGAGUAGGGUCCCCCAUUUGGGGGAGGGGCUGGGGACAGACCCAUGGUAGGGACAAAGGAAGGCCAGGCAGCCCCUGUCCGUGGAAGUCCUUGGCAAUGAGGGGCCAAGGGAGAGCUGAGUGACACCCAGGAAGUCACGGGUGUUCCCUCUGUGGACAUCACCACAUCACAGAGGCCACCAAGGGCAAACAGAACCGGAGCAAGGUCAGGGACAGGUCUCUGAAGCAGAAUGAAGCCGGGGGGGCAAGAGAGCUCACAGGCCUUCUCUCCACCCCCAGGAGUUAGUGAUGAGAAAAGAGAGCGGAGCAUGCCCCUGGCCUAUCACGGUCCCCAGCCACCAAGCCUCUCUAGUCACAUUCUAGCCUGGGUGGGGUAGAGGGUUGCUGUGAAUUGGGUAAGAGGUUGAAGUUUUUGCUUUGUUUUUGUCUUUUUUUUUUUUUUUUUUUUUUUUUUUUUUUUUUUUGCCUUUUCCAGGGCCAGCAUAUGGAGGUUCCCAGGCUAGGGGUCGAAUUGGAGCUGUAGCUACUGGCCUACACCAGAGCCACAGCAACACGGGAUCCAAGCUGAGUCUGCAACCACAGCUCACAGCAACGCCAGAUUUUUAACCCACUGAGCAAGGGCAGGGACCGAACCCGCAACCUCAUGGUUCCUAGUUGGGUUCGUUAACCACUGCGCCACAACGGGAACUCCGAGACUGAAGUUUUAAACUGGACGGGUCUAGGUUUAAAUAACUGAAUGAGGAGUUCUCGUUGUGGUUUGGUGGGUUAAGAACCCAGCUAGUAUCCAUGAGGAUGUGGGUUUGAUCCCUGGCCGUGCUCAGUGGGUGAAUGACCCAGUGUUGCUGUGGCUGUGGUGUAGGCCGGCAGCUGCAGCUUUGAUUCACCCCACGGCCCGGAAACUUCCAUGUGCUGCAGAUGUGGCCCUAAAAGAAAAGACCAGAAGGUUAUUAAAACUGCCUGUGGUGUUAAAAAAGAGGAAAGAGGAAAGGGAAUGAUGAGGAAGAUUAAAAAGACCCAGAAUUUCUUCAUGCAACUACCUCAACAGGUUGAACCAAACUCCUCAGCAACCAGGUGUGCUAAGAAAAUGACCACUGGCCUCCCAUCUCCAUAGUGAGGCAUCCCUCCCACCUGAGCCAAAGAGAGCACCUGGGGACCAGAGCACCUGCCAAAGAGCCUGAGCUUCACCUUAACUGGGCCGCCUUGGCUGACAAGCCUCUCUUGAACCCAUCCCUGGACCAAAGAGGUGGCAGGUACUGAUUGUUCGAGCUCAGGUCAUAUUUCUACCCCUGGAGGUGGCCUCCCUGGGACCACAGCAUUCCCAGAAGGGAGGUGGGAACUGCAGGGAAGAAGGAAGGAAGGAUGAAUUGGGGGAAAUUUCGCGUUGGGGAAACUUUUGGCAUAAAGUUUCUGUCCCAGGAAGAGAGUGGAACCAAAACAAAAACGUACAGGAGUUUUAUAAUUCCCAGAAUAACAGCCAUUGACACGCUUAAAGAUGACACUAACGGGGGGGUUGGAGCAGCAGGGCAGAGUUAAAUAUCCCGGCAGUAAGGAAAAGGAGGCCCUGUUCCCCGGUGGCCCAGUGAAGGACUCAGCAUUGUCACCGCUGUGGCUGCUGUGGCUCAGUACAGGAACUUGCGCAGGCCGUGGGUGCAGCCAAAACAAACAAACGAGAAAGAUUUUUAAAAAGAAAGAACGAAACAGGCGGCCAGGAGAGCUCUGAGCUGAGGGCGAGCUCCUGGGGGCUGGGAGGGGCCUCUGGAUGAAGGGAGGGCAGGAAGGGGAGCUUCGGGACUAAAGGCACGUCUGAAGGGGAUUUUCCGAAGUGAAAUGGUGAAAGUGAAAGUGAAGGAAGCCAAGAGCAGAGCCCUCGCCCCCGUUUUCCCGUGUGAAAUCAGCAGUUACAGGGUCAGUCUCUUCGGCUGUGGGCAUGACGACUGAAUGCAAGGUGGCAGCCAGGACUGGGUCCUGGGACAAAAGUGGGACAUGGCUGCAAACGCUGGUGAAGUCCACUUACAGCCUCGAGUAAAGGGCAUAGCCACUGUUGGAGGUCCCCCCCGCCCCCGCCAAAAAAGAGAGAGAGAGAGAGACAAAAAAUAGUAAUUAAUGUCAAUUUCUUUGUUGUGAC